GCGACCCCAGGUCAGGCGUG
This 20-nucleotide ribosomal RNA is filed under the name Rhodostemonodaphne kunthiana. RNAcentral's name for it is "partial 26S ribosomal RNA". Lineage: Eukaryota; Viridiplantae; Streptophyta; Magnoliopsida; Laurales; Lauraceae. The record is from RNAcentral.